GAGCCCAGAGCUGGGACCGUCCAACAAUGUUUUAAACAUGUUGUCUUACAAAGAAGAAGGUACAGAGACUGGGAAGUUGCUGGAGAGGGUGUUUAUGUGGGAAAGACCUACUGCCGUCUAAAAGACUACGGAAGGAACCAGGGUGAGAAGAGAGAAGAGGCGAGGUCCCCAGAGGGAAAAGCGGGGACCCGGAGCAUUGGGGUCCUUGGGCUCACUGAGCAAGGCGUGCACGUCCCCACCUCAGGCAGCAGGUGAACAGAGCCUCCAGGAAGACAAGACCCUCAGAGCCCUUGUGCCUCACCUGCCAGCCUCAACCAGGACCAGGUCUCCCAACACCCAAUCCAGGGUUCUUUUCACACUGGGUGGUUUUUCUUUCUUGCUCACAUUAGAGGAUUCAAGGGCGGGGAGUGGACUGGACAGGAAUAGAAACUAAAGCUGAUGAGUAGGAAACGCCGACUGAGAGCAUUUCAGACUGUUGGAGAGAGUCUUCUUCCAAUGAAGAUGCUCCCGUUGCUGUGUUGUGUGCCCGUGAACACAGUGGCCCUCCGGCAGCCCCCACUCACCCCUUCCUGGAUGGUGGAGGCGCUGCCCUGAUGGCAUCCCCAGGACUGUGCGGAGGCUGAUGGUGAGUAGACACUCCAGAAACCACCCCCAGCUGACUCAGUCCUCACCAUUUGACCCCCUGGACGAUGCUAUCACAGGUGACUCCUGCUUUUAAAAACAUUGUCCCUCUGAAAAGUGACAUUGAUGCCUCUGUACAAAACAUCUUGAUAUCUGAUAGCAAAGACUCAGUCUAGGAAGAAGGGGGCGUUAAAUGGUAUUCUGGGAGAUGAUGAGACGCUCACCAGUUGGGGAGAGGGAAGAAGAGUGAAUAAAAGCUUGCACCCCUGAAGAGUUUCACCCGCCAUGGAGGACCCAAGGCCAGGACCCAUGUGAAGAGAGGGAUCCCUCCGUUACCUGCCAGGCAGCUUCUCUCACCUGAUAGUCUCCAAAGAGCGUGACUCACGGGCACUGUGUUCAGAGGGUCUGUUGCGCCCCCAAGGCACCUGCAAGACAGUUAUCACCCAGCAAGCACUGAAACGCUGUCAUCGGGCCUUCCUUCUCUGCCACACUUACACACUGGACACGGGGGAUGAGAAUGGAGUCCAGGCUGUGGCCUCUGCAUGAGAGGGCGUGCUUCUUCCCAGGGGUGAGGUACACGCACAAAGAUCUCCUGAGCAUCAGAUCCCAGUUCUGGAAGGGGGCGAAGCUGUGGUCCCAGGUGCCCAGAGACUUGGCCCACUUCUGUGACUGAGGAUGUGUUGGGUUCAAAUUGUUCACUCAGUUGGGUACCCAGUUCCACCUAAGAUGCUGCUCUAGGGAGGCCCCGUCCGUAUUCCUUUUCCUCCUCCAUCAUGCCAACGAAGGAUGGAGAUCAAAGGAACGAAAGGCAGCCAGUCAUCUUUGCACACCCAAAAUGUCUCACAGCUGAUGGAAUUUGGAGAAUGUGCGAAUCACUUCGAAUCUUACCUUCUUAUAGAUGCUGGAAUGGAUUCUGGAUUUAAUCUAAAAUGAAUAACACAUUUUCAUCCUUAUUAACCAUGCAGUAAAAGGUACUUAUGAAAUGAACAGAUGACUCAAUAUUUGUUUAGUAAUAACAUCGUACUCAUGAUUUUGCCCAAAUUCCACUAAUUGUUGAGUUCCCCUUGCUGCAUGGCAGGACCUGAGUCUUCCUUGAGGAUUUUUCCCCUUAUUCUUAGGCAGUCCCAAAGGAGUGGGUUCUUGGCCGCAGGAAACAUGCAGGAAACGUACAGCAUUGCCUCCGCUUUUUCUGCAGAAAAAGUCCACCAAGCAGAUCCUAAGGAAACCCCCCAGUCACCACUUCUUACAGCACUGAGACUGUUACCAGCCCUGGGCACAUCCACAGAGAAGUGUUUCUCAUUACUUAGUCCUUCUAGUUCAGAGCCCCAGCCCCCACCCACCCAGACACACACACACGUGCAUGCACACGCAUGCAUGCAAGUUAUUAGAUGCAUAGAAAAGGAGCCAAAAUGUCACACCUCAAGGAUUUUAAUAAUGGUGAAGCCUGCUGGAGCACGAGUGUUGAGAUGUUUCUUGUCUUUGUCUGCUGCCAUACCCACUUGCUUUGCUUUUUUACUGACACAUGAUCUUGUAAUGCUGUUUUUAUUAUGGAUUAAUAUGCAUUUUAUAUUUUA
RNAcentral lists this long non-coding RNA (2195 nucleotides) under Sus scrofa (pig). RNAcentral describes it as "lncRNA (ENSSSCG00065034617.1)". The record is from RNAcentral. Lineage: Eukaryota; Metazoa; Chordata; Mammalia; Artiodactyla; Suidae.